AGCAGUCGCCGCGGUAAUACGAAGGGUGCAAGCGUUGUUCGGAAUUAUUGGCGUAAAGGGUGCGUAGGCGGUUUCGUAAGUCUGAUGUGAAAUCUCUGGGCUCAACCCAGAGGCUGCAUCGGAGACUGCGAGGCUGGAGAGUGGGAGAGGUGAGUGGAAUUUCCGGUGUAGCGGUGAAAUGCGUAGAUAUCGGAAGGAACACCUGUGGCGAAAGCGGCUCACUGGACCAUUUCUGACGCUGAUGCACGAAAGCUAGGGGAGCAAACAGGAUUAGAGACCCGCGUAGUCCCUGUCUCUUAUACA
This 303-nucleotide ribosomal RNA is filed under the name uncultured bacterium. RNAcentral describes it as "partial 16S ribosomal RNA". It matches the Rfam family "Bacterial small subunit ribosomal RNA", at positions 507 to 808 of the family's 1533-position model. The record is from RNAcentral.